Molecule: ribosomal RNA, 157 nt
Filed under: Funalia subgallica
Lineage: Eukaryota; Fungi; Basidiomycota; Agaricomycetes; Polyporales; Polyporaceae
Description: 5.8S ribosomal RNA
Rfam family: 5.8S ribosomal RNA
About the family: 5.8S ribosomal RNA (5.8S rRNA) is a component of the large subunit of the eukaryotic ribosome. It is transcribed by RNA polymerase I as part of the 45S precursor that also contains 18S and 28S rRNA.
Source: RNAcentral
CAACUUUCAGCAACGGAUCUCUUGGCUCUCGCAUCGAUGAAGAACGCAGCGAAAUGCGAUAAGUAAUGUGAAUUGCAGAAUUCAGUGAAUUAUCGAAUCUUUGAACGCACCUUGCGCUCCUUGGUAUUCCGAGGAGCAUGCCUGUUUGAGUGUCAUG